RNAcentral lists this transfer RNA (69 nucleotides) under Rattus norvegicus (Norway rat). It matches the Rfam family "tRNA". Rfam says of the family: Transfer RNA (tRNA) molecules are approximately 80 nucleotides in length. Their secondary structure includes four short double-helical elements and three loops (D, anti-codon, and T loops). The record is from Rfam by way of RNAcentral. Lineage: Eukaryota; Metazoa; Chordata; Mammalia; Rodentia; Muridae.
GGGGAUUUGGCUCAGCGGUAGAGCGUUUGCCUAGGAAGCGCAAGGCCCUGGGUUCGGUCCCCAGCUCCG